Molecule: long non-coding RNA, 2642 nt
Organism: Lethenteron reissneri (Far Eastern brook lamprey)
Lineage: Eukaryota; Metazoa; Chordata; Hyperoartia; Petromyzontiformes; Petromyzontidae
Source: RefSeq, a predicted model, not a curated record
UGUUGUCCAACUCACCGGUGAGUGAGCUGAAACAAUAACAAUUGACGCGUUCUUAAACUCUUGCACAGAUGACACUUUCAUUUGUUUGGUUGUGUCGAGUGGUGCAGGGUAUUGACGACACAACUUUAGCCAGAUCGUUACUCGGCUUUACCAUAAAUCAAACCGUGAGUCGAAUUGAAUGUCCUGAGUUAAGCCGGUGUGCGCACGAAACACGCAUUGAGCAAUUUAAAUGACAGCUGAGCCAUGCAUUGUUACUCGUUACACUAACCAUCGUCGCCGCCGACAGCACGGUUAUCGUUGAUCUAAACUUUACACGUGCGACACAAAAUCACGAUGAUCAUUAUGAUGGUGACGAUGCAGAGCGAUGCAAAAUACUAACCCUACCCCGUGUGUUCAGAAGACCUUGAGGGCAGAUUCUCAUCGUCCUAUCACGGACUCGCCAUGGGGCUGCCAGCCCGCUGGGCCGAGAGAAGCUGAGAGCCAGGGAAGGGCGAGCGGGCCGAGAGCGAGAGGAGGACUGGUGGGCGAAGUGGGACGUGUCCCACCGACAGGCCGCGGUGUGGCGUUGACCUGCCGCGAGCACCGGGGCGACGACGAGGACACUCGGUGAACAACUCAGUGGACUGUUCAUCGCGAACAGGCGACGAUGAGGCCACGUUCACAAACGCGGGACACCGCGAGGAGCCGGGGACAUUCCCUAUGUGGGAACGUUGCUUGGUGCAGUGUCCGGAUAAAAGCGGGGGCUUCAUUUCUCAUUGAAUGUUUUCCACGUCACUGGUAGAUUCCAGACGGCAUGCGAUGAGUAGUCACAGCGAGAGGUGUCGCGUGCCUUUUGGGAUUUUCAUUUUUGGACAGACCCAGCUGAAAUGAAGCGUUGGGUAGAAAUGUACUUCUGUAGGAGAUUCACUCGGGUUGUCAGUUAUCCUGGGUUUUCGAAGGAUCGUACACCUUGAGAGGUAGCUGCCAUCCUGGAAAAUGUGUUCCAGUCUUCCAGAGUCAAUGGUUACGUAAUAAUACGCUGCUCGCGAUAACGAUUGUUGACCCCUCUUACGGUAUUGUGAGAUGUUCUUCUUCUCGUGCGUUCCAUGUUUUUGAAUCCCAGGGAAGGGGGCGACCCCAACAGUCACGCACUGGUCACCCAGCCUCCAUUACAGUAACAGGAUAUUCCUGGAUAAGCGCGUUAAUAAUGCAUGGAACCAAAUGAUCAGAAUUAAACCUUUGUCGACCGUGCGCAGUCACUCACACCCUAUGCCUAUGAAUUACAGGUGUGCGGGAUGUUUUCCACCAUCAUAUCCAUUCCUCUAAGACGGGGGUGGGGAACCUUUUUCCUGGCUGAAGUUCAAAUAUGACUUUCAAACAAUAUUGGCAGGGUACACAUUGACACGCACCACGGUCACUUGCGGCACGAGAAGAGGCCCUUUCCGUGGCACAAAGAUUAGCAACACAGCAUUGCCAUGUCAAAUAGAUGCCCCUCUAGUACCCGAUUAGUUAAACUCAGAUGAAUGAGUGACGGAUGAAUGUCGUUUGACGGCCGUUUCGAAGUGCUAGGCCUCAUGUGGUCAUGGGCCGUGUGAAAUUAAGUCACAGGCCUUAGUUUCGCAACCCCUGAUUGCUCUAUGAGAUACACAUACACCUCUGUACUGUCCUUUUUUGAGAAGCAGGAUAAUACAAUAUCGUAUUUGGCUUAAAAACCAUGAAGCCCUUCCAGUUUAUAUGUUUUCCUGGUAAAUUACUCCUGCUCUGGAGGAGGGGUUAACGGAUCACUCAAGAGUGUCAAAAAAGUGAUAUUCACAAUUAGCUGAGCCGCGCGGUGGCCACUAUACGGUAGCACACAAAAGUGGUUUGCUGACCUGUUUUUUUACCUUUUACGCUCUGCACGUAUGCUCCAUAUUAUCUGGGUAGUGGAAUCUGCCUCCCUCAAGCAAAACAACUCAAGAAAUGUCGCCAAACAUCCCAAUGCAGGACCUGCCUGAAAAUUGAGUCUCGAGACUCGGCGAGGCUUCCCUGGCUGAACGGACCGUACUGUCUGAUAGCCCAUGUAGAACAGCGCCACGCGCAGCGUUUCCCAUGCUUUAUUUUAGCACACUUAAUAAUUAAUCGCAAUGAUCAACACAAAUCGUGAAGCAAAGUGAUUGCUCCAGAUAUGGUCCCCCGCAGCUGAGCUCAUACGAAUGAGGAUGACAUUGGAGAGCGGUGUAAUUAUUUCCAGGAACAUGAGGAGUUAAGUGCCGGUCGUUGGUGUAACACAACGCCGCACGGGUAAAGGUGUCUCCAUCAGAAUUUAAUUUCAAUUUGAUUAUAAGCACCGCAACUGAAGGGACAUUCCUCCUCCGUAGCUAUGACACUGCAAAGGCGCCAGGUGAUGCGGAGAUGCUGGAUCAUUGCGGAAAGCUGAGGUGAAUGCGCAUGAGGCAGAGCCGCUAUGAAGACGAAGACGCAAGGUGCAUCUCUGAAAUCGAUUGCUCAUGCCAAUGCUGGUGAAUAUAAAAAUGCGAGUCGUGAAAAUGACACACAAAUAUUGUACAUUUGUCAAUCCACUCCCUGAUGACGGCCUCCCCAGUCUUUAUCAGUGAAUCUGUGAUUUUGUUUUAACCAUUUCCAACUUUAUUUUUCCAAUAAAAAUCUUCUGCCGUAGCUGCGAA